UGCUUGCUGGGGAAGACUUUUGAAG
RNAcentral lists this non-coding RNA (25 nucleotides) under Mus musculus (house mouse). Lineage: Eukaryota; Metazoa; Chordata; Mammalia; Rodentia; Muridae. RNAcentral also lists the same sequence under 1 other name. The record is from RNAcentral.